GGAAGGCUUGAGCACAGCCCUGCCAAGAAAAGAAGAUGAGGGGAUGGCAGCCGGGCAUGAGUCAGCAUUGUGCUCUCGCAGCCCAGAAAGCCAACUGGAUCCUGGGUGCAUCCAAAGCAGCGCAGCCAGCAAACGAGGGUGGGGAUCUGCCCCUCUGCUCUGCACUGUGAGACCUCACCUGGAGCUCUGCGUUCAGAUGGGGAGUGCUCAGCACAGGAGAGACACGGAGCUGUUGGAGUGUGUCCAGAGGAAGGCCACAAAAAUGAUCUGAGGGAUGGAAAAGCUCCUUGUGGGGACAGGCUGAGAGCUGGGAUUUGCAGCAUGGAAAAGGAAGGCUGUGGGGAGAGCUGAGAGCGGCCUGUCAGUAUCUAGAGGGGAACUACAGGAAAGAAGGGGACAGGCUCUUAAGCAGGGUCUGUUGUUACAGGAGAAGGGGUAAUAGUUUCAAGCUUAAGGAGGGUAGAUUUAGGUUGGAUAUAAGGAAAAAGUCUUUUACAGUGAGGGUGGUGAGGCACUGGAACAGGUUGCCCAGUGAUGUGGUGCAUGCCCCAUCCCUGGAGACUUUCAAGGUGAGGCAGGAUCAUGCCCUGGGCAGUCUGGCUUAAUUGUGGCGUCCCUGUUCAUUUCAGGGGAGUUGGGCUAUAUGGCCUUCAGAGGUCCCUUCCAACUCUUAAGGAUUCUAUUCUUCUAUUCUAAAGAGCGGUGAGUGUAGCAGGGCAAGGGGGGUUGCAGUGUGCUGCAUAGAACAGAAAAAUGUGUUUGGGAUUGUGAAUUGUCAGUGAUGUACAGUAUCUAUUCACACUCUAAAAGUCUGAAUUCAAAGUGAUAAUUAUGUGCUGUUUUUGCUGUUUAAGUGGUUUAAUGCCAUUAAGACUUUGCUACUUAAUGGAAAAGCUUAGAAUCAAACUAGCAUGGGAAUACUAAAAAAUUUAAUGGAUUUCUGUUUAAGUCAUUCUUUCUAUUAGGAAACAAAUCUACCAAAAUAUAUAACUAGGUCUUUGGAUUCAAUUAUUAAUCCUCUCUUAAUAUGAAGAGCAAAAUUAUCAUUUAACAGUAUUUCUCUGAAAUAGAAUUUUAAUGAUACCAUCAUCUCAUAGCUGAACAUGAUUUUUCCCGAUUGGAACAAAGUUAGAGGAUUCUUAGCACUGAAUCAAUUUCAGUUAUUAACCCUAAGCAGUUACAAUAUACCA
Gallus gallus (chicken) is the source of this 1190-nucleotide long non-coding RNA. Lineage: Eukaryota; Metazoa; Chordata; Aves; Galliformes; Phasianidae. The record is from Ensembl.